UCUUCCCGUUCUCUGCAGCCAGGUGCAUCUGGUCGAGUCAGACCGACAGAAUCGGUCAGAGUCGAGCUCGUUCCUACUUUUCCUCAUUUUAAAAGACUUUUCUGGUUGUUUUGAAGCCAUGAGACGAAGCAGCAGCAGCCGGAGGAGCUCGGGAACCAGGAGGCGGAGCGAGAGUUCACGUUUCGAUCAAUUCGGGUUUGCUUUUUUGAAAAGGAAGGAGCAGAAAGUUCAUCACAGGAGUCACGACUACAGUUACCCCCAGCUGAGCUCGGUGAGGGUGAAGGAGCUUUGUGAGCUCCUCAGCUACUGGAAUGGGGCCAGCUUCAUUUGCAAGAGCCAGAUUGAGCGAUUUAUCAGGAUGGGCAUUCCUCCCAGCCUGAGAGGCCGAGUGUGGAAGUGUCUCCUCAACAUCGACGACCUGAGAGAAACCAGUGACUUCAACUAUCAGAGGUGCUUGUCUGAUGUUCGAGGACCCCUGGUGGACUUGGGAGUCAGUGAGUACGGUAUUUUGUCUGCUAUCGCCACGCUGAGCGACACCCAGAAUGACCUGGAUUUGAACCAGCAGCCGUCCUCCAGCUGCUCGGAGCCCUGCUACUCUGUGGAUGAAGUCGGCCUGUUCAGGCAGAUCGCUCUGGACCUGCAGCGCUCCUUCCCAACCCACCGCUCUCUGAUGGGAGACGAUCCAGAAGCCAUCGAGGGUCAGGCUAAACUCUUCAGAGUCCUCAUUGCCUUUGCAAAAUACAACCCACGAGUUGGCUACAGCCAAGGGAUGUCCUACAUAGCUGCAGUCCUGCUGAUGCAUUUGGGGGAGGAGGAGGCGUUCUGGGCUCUGACGGCCCUGCUGAAUAAACCCAAAUACCUGAAUGAACUGUUUGAGCUCGACAUCUCAAAGGGGCACCUUCAGGUGAAGGUGUUUGAACAGUUUCUGAAACACAGGAAGCCACGGCUCUUCAAGCACAUGGACUCGGCGGGAGUCUUAUCGCUCCAUUUUGUUAUGCCAUGGUUUCUCUCCCUCUUCACUUCCCUGCCCUGCUGGGACUCUGUCCUCGCUGCCUGGGAUCUCGUUAUGCUGCAAGGUCUGCCGGCCGUGUUCCGUACGGCUCUGACCAUCGUUGAGCUUCUGGAGCCUCGACUGCUGGAGCUGAGUGAUGAAGGAUCCAUGUUACCGUUGCUGUUGAGAGUCCCUGUGAACGUAGCCCAAUACACGGUUCUGGUUCCGGCACUGUGGCACACCGAGGUCCAUGACUGGGAGCUCAAGUGUAUGAAGAGCUUGGUGAUGGAUGAGAGCCACCAUGAUCCUCAAAGGGAACUGUGUGAAAAGCAGGACGACGCAUCAUCCAGCCAAAUCGGAACUGGGAAUGAGAGAAAUGAUCCAACGGUGUCAUCUGAAGGGGAAAAGACCACAGAGAAAGGGGCUGUUGGCUUAUUGACCCGAGUGAUGCGCACAGCUCAGCGAUACCUUUUCAGUCGAGCAGGAGUUGAAGACGAGAGUCCACAAACACCAGGGAUGUCCUCUCAGAGAAGAUCUGGACGCGUGUCUCGGCGUUGGACUUCAGCUCCGUUAACACGAGCUCAGGUGAGAUGGAAAAAUCAGCAGAGAAGCCUUGGUGGUCGCGUUGCUACGACUCCUGUUGCUGUCCAAGCGUCUCCUGAUGGAGGCGGAGCUGAAAGAAGUGAUCAAACCUUGAAGAGAUCAGCACCUGUUGGCCGCACGGUUCAUCGUCGUAGCAACCACAGCAUCAUUCAUCAUGUCCGCUCCAAGUCUAAUCGUCUCCUCCGAAACGGAAAAGGAACGUCGAUCCAGACGCCGGAUCUUCCUUCCUACCAGUUGUCGUCCACACACCCGGCUUCAUCCAUGUCUUCGUGCCCCCCCGAGCAGCGUGAAACGGCCAGAAUGGCUCUAAUCAGAUGAUGCACCUUGGUUCAUAUUGGUGCCCCCACCCCCACCCCUACAAGUGACUCGACACAGUGACCAGACCAAUGAGUCCUCAGCUGAUUCCCAAGUGUGGAUCAACAGCUGAUCUCUGAGAUUGUCACAGACACUCUGAAUUUAGGUGUGAGAAGACUAAAGAGAGCAGAAAGGUUUUGACCCCCAGAUGCAGAAGUUCCUGAUUCUACUGUGAGUUAUGUUAAAGAUUUUCCUUGGAGCAGUUUUUCUGUUGACGACACCAGUGCACCCGUUUCAGGAACUAGAAGUGAGCCACAUCAGAGUAGAGCUGAACACGGCAGGUUUUAGAGUCCUAUUUCCUGAUAUUUGGUGAUCUCGCCUCUGAUUGGCUAACAGCAUCAUGACUCUACCACUGACUGUGUUUGCUCUGCAAUGUUGAUGUUUUAUCUCCACAGAUAACACAAACCUGGAGGAGUUCUGCUGUGUGGUGGAGUUGCUAAUGCUAAUUGUUAGCUUCUACUAGUCGAGAUGAUCUCUGCUGUUUCCUGGACGCUAAACCAACAACAGCUUCCCCGUCAUGAGUCCAGAUGGGUGAGUCCAUGAAUGUUAGUGACAGUGUGACGUAGAUCUGUCAGGAUUUUCUAAUCCUAGAGUUUCACCGUCUGUUUUCUAUCAAGCUACUGCAGGAGAUAGGUGUAGUAGACUAUUUUCAUGUUCAGACUGCAUGAAACACUCAGAGUGACGCGUUAGAAUCAGAAAUAAUCAUUAAAAAUGUUUUUUCAGUGAUCCACACCUUUACGGCGGCAGCUUUAGUUUUGGUUGCACACAGACUAGCUGUUAGCUCAUCAAUCGUGAAGGGUAUAAACAUAAUUUCUUCAGAUGUUUAAUAAUAUAAUCCUUUGAGGUGUUGUUUACCAUCAUUACUAAUUAGAUUCAGUUCUGCUGUGUUCAAUUCAAUUCAAGUUUAUUUAUAAAGCGCCAAAUCACGACAAGAGUCGUCUCAAGGACCUUCACAUAGUAAACAUUCAAAUACAGGUCAGUUCAUUAAGCCAAUCAGUAAAAGGUUUCCU
Molecule: non-coding RNA, 2958 nt
Organism: Nothobranchius furzeri (turquoise killifish)
Lineage: Eukaryota; Metazoa; Chordata; Actinopteri; Cyprinodontiformes; Nothobranchiidae
Source: RefSeq, a predicted model, not a curated record